Molecule: ribosomal RNA, 253 nt
Filed under: uncultured bacterium
Lineage: Bacteria
Description: partial 16S ribosomal RNA
Rfam family: Bacterial small subunit ribosomal RNA
Source: RNAcentral
UACGUAGGGUGCAAGCGUUGUCCGGAAUUAUUGGGCGUAAAGAGCUCGUAGGCGGUCUGUUGCGUCGGCUGUGAAAACCCGGGGCUCAACUCCGGGCCUGCAGCCGAUACGGGCAGACUAGAGUUCGGCAGGGGAGACUGGAAUUCCCAGUGUAGCGGUGAAAUGCGUAGAUAUUGGGAGGAACACCAGUGGCGAAGGCGGCUACCUGGACCGGUUCUGACGCUGAGGCGCGAAAGCGUGGGUAGCAAACAGG